ACAAAUGCUAUGAAAAGAAACAGUAAAUAUUUUUGAUUUUUCAGAGAGAAGUUGCCAGGUGAAAAACUUUAAUGAAAAAAUAUUGAACCAGUCUUGGAGCUAUGAACCGAAAGUGUAUUAUGAGUAGGCUUCAUCGGAGAUUCUACCGUUAAAAGGAAAACAGUAUAAAGAUACAUAAUCUUCGUACUGAUUGAGUGCAGUUAUUUCUGAAAUUAGGUGGUAACACGGAUUGUAUAUUCGCCCUAAGU
RNAcentral lists this non-coding RNA (248 nucleotides) under Clostridium neonatale. Its description in RNAcentral is "T-box". It matches the Rfam family "T-box leader". Rfam says of the family: Uncharged tRNA acts as the effector for transcription antitermination of genes in the T-box leader family. T-boxes are found upstream of many aminoacyl-tRNA synthetase genes and some amino acid biosynthetic genes usually in Gram-positive bacteria. Lineage: Bacteria; Bacillati; Bacillota; Clostridia; Eubacteriales; Clostridiaceae. The record is from RNAcentral.